GACCCACUGACUCGCAAAAGCGAAAAUAUAGAACUUCACAGCAGGGACACAUUUUGAUAAAAUUAAACGAAAUGUGUAGUCUCUGUGCGUCUAUGGAGAAACCUGAAAUGGAAACGGAGUGGGAGAGUACACGUGGCUAUGAGACAACUUUCAGUAGAUUCAAUUAUACUUCAAGCUUGAUGCUGUUAUGUUUUCUGUUUCCAACUGUGACAGAACCUGGAACAGAAAUGAAGUGUGUGACAAUAAUUCAUAGACAAAUUUAGACUAAUACUCUUUCAUGGAUGCUAAAUUUGGUAGAUCUAGCCAUAAAUGUUUUAUUAUAAUUCAAAGUGGUAUAUAGUUAUAUUUAUAAUAAUUCAUUGUUUGAAUUUGUUUUUAUAGAGCACUUUAUUGAACUAAAAUAAUCAUAGCUGCAUUUAGUAAAUUAUUUAGCACACGUGUGACUGCUGACUCAUGCCUUAAGUGUUUCAGCUGCUAAAAUAUGUUUUUGGGAUAUUUUUUCUGGAUAGAAAUUUACCUUUCUGAUAUUGUACGAGUGUUUGGACAUUCCUUUCAAAGGUGAAAUAUGGCUACUUAUAUUGCUUUGUUUCUAAUAAUGAUAUUGAAGGUGUAAAGUAUGUAAAUAUUUUUGUAAGAAAUUGAUUAAACAUAUUGGCCAAUCAUU
Molecule: long non-coding RNA, 664 nt
Organism: Gigantopelta aegis
Lineage: Eukaryota; Metazoa; Mollusca; Gastropoda; Neomphalida; Peltospiridae
Exons: 2
Source: RefSeq, a predicted model, not a curated record